CCCGGUACAUGUAGUCCCGCACAGUUCUUCUUUCACAGUCAUCAUUACCAUUGCCAAGAGAAGGAGCACUUUGGCCCGGCUUUUCCGAAAAGCACUACUAGCACUGGUAUUUCUCUGUACGACCAAUCGGCAUUUCGCAACAGAAGGAGGGCUGUCGAGAGAGGGAACCCAAGUUCCUACGUGGCAUAAUAUCUUUGGAUCUCACAGGCUGUUUGCAACGAAGACAUCAUGAACGCUUCAAACUUGUGUGUCUUAUCGGUGGCUGUGAUUUGUAUGGUGCUAGCUUGGAGUGAACCUUCCAAAGCCUGUGUUUCGUGUACAUGUAGCAACGGAGUUGUCAUGUCUUGCCAAAACAUUGCCCAAAUUUCUUUGCGCUCUAACAAUUUGACGAAUCUCAGUGGCUCAGCAUUUCAGAAUAACAAGAACGUUACGGAUAUAGAUUUGAGAUUUAAUAAACUUGUUCACCUACCUGUCGGGCUGCUCAACACCACAACCAAAUUACGACAGCUG
Long non-coding RNA from Sycon ciliatum, 510 nucleotides. RefSeq lists it as uncharacterized. The transcript is spliced from 4 exons. The record is from RefSeq and is a predicted model, not a curated record. Lineage: Eukaryota; Metazoa; Porifera; Calcarea; Leucosolenida; Sycettidae.